CCUACGGGUGGCUGCAGUGGGGAAUAUUGGACAAUGGGCGAAAGCCUGAUCCAGCCAUGCCGCGUGUGUGAAGAAGGCCUUCGGGUUGUAAAGCACUUUCAGUGGGGAAGAAAGCCUUGGGGCUAAUACCCUCGAGGAAGGACAUCACCCACAGAAGAAGCACCGGCUAACUCCGUGCCAGCAGCCGCGGUAAUACGGAGGGUGCGAGCGUUAAUCGGAAUUACUGGGCGUAAAGCGCGCGUAGGCGGUCUGAUAAGCCGGUUGUGAAAGCCCCGGGCCCAACCUGGGAACGGCAUCCGGAACUGUCAGGCUAGAGUGCAGGAGAGGAAGGUAGAAUUCCCGGUGUAGCGGUGAAAUGCGUAGAGAUCGGGAGGAAUACCAGUGGCGAAGGCGGCCUUCUGGACUGACACUGACGCUGAGGUGCGAAAGCGUGGGUAGCAAACAGGAUUAGAUACCCGAGUAGUC
This 465-nucleotide ribosomal RNA is filed under the name Vreelandella stevensii. Its description in RNAcentral is "partial 16S ribosomal RNA". It matches the Rfam family "Bacterial small subunit ribosomal RNA", at positions 338 to 795 of the family's 1533-position model. Lineage: Bacteria; Pseudomonadati; Pseudomonadota; Gammaproteobacteria; Oceanospirillales; Halomonadaceae. The record is from RNAcentral.